RNAcentral lists this ribosomal RNA (485 nucleotides) under uncultured bacterium. RNAcentral describes it as "partial 16S ribosomal RNA". It matches the Rfam family "Bacterial small subunit ribosomal RNA", at positions 28 to 523 of the family's 1533-position model. The record is from RNAcentral.
GACGAACGCUGGCGGCGUGCUUAACACAUGCAAGUCGAACGAUGGACCCGGAGCUUGCUCCGGUGGAUUAGUGGCGAACGGGUGAGUAACACGUGAGUAACCUGCCCUUGACUCUGGGAUAACUGCGGGAAACUGUAGCUAAUACCGGAUACGACCCUCGGCGGCAUCGCCAGGGGGUGGAAAGAAUUUCGGUCAAGGAUGGACUCGCGGCCUAUCAGCUAGUUGGUGAGGUAACGGCUCACGCAAGGCGACGACGGGUAGCGGGCCUGAGAGGGUGACCGGCCACACUGGGACUGAGACACGGCCCAGACUCCUACGGGAGGCAGCAGUGGGGAAUAUUGCACAAUGGGCGCAAGCCUGAUGCAGCAACGCCGCGUGAGGGAUGACGGCCUUCGGGUUGUAAACCUCUUUUAGUAGGGAAGAAGCGAAAGUGACGGUACCUGCAGAAAAAGCACCGGCUAACUACGUGCCAGCAGCCGCCGCCG